AAGCCGAUGAUGACAAAAUCAAAUUGGAAUUACCGUCUGAAUAAUUUGAUGUAAAUUUCUUGGCUGUGGUACUGAGGCUUCAAAUUAUUAUUAUUAUUUUUUUUUCCUUCUGAUUCGUCGUAGUCAGAUUAGCAUUUAUAAUUUCAUUAUUUUUAUUGAAUUGAUGUAUUAAUUAGGAUUUUUUCAUUAUAUAGUAUUGGAUUGAUAAAACUCUAUCGUAUGUGAGCAUGUGUAUUGAUACAUGAAUCAUAUAUUUAUAAGGAGUGAUUCAAUAUAUUUAUUACGAAAGUUAAGAUAUACUGUGCUGCAUUAUUGAUGGAUGCAGCCGUGGUACAUUAAUCUUACAAGGAAGCUAUGUGCCGAUCAUUUUUUAUGCCUGGUUCUCCGGUCCUCUUCACCGCUUUGCGGUUUAUGUUAGACUCCGGACUAAGAUUUAGUUCUAGAGAACAUAAUCCAUAAAUUGGCUACAUGGCUUCCCGUUCCGGAGCGUAUCUAUCAGUGCAUAACAACCUUGUAAGGUUAAGGAACCACAGUUUUUUGCUCAUUUCCAUGCCACAUUGCCUCUUCUAGAGAGGAGGCAACUUUAUGUUUGUUAAGAUUCUUUUCUGGACACCGAUAGCUUAAAUGCAUAUGUUAUAGAUUGCUUGAAAUCUGUUUGAAAAUGAUUUAAUAUCUGAAAACAUAAUUAUAUGUCGUUGUUGGGUCUGAUGCCACGUCUCUGGUAGCUAUAUAUUAGCUCUGACCAUAGAUGCUAUGAUUGGACCAAAAUCAAGAGUGAAUUUCAUUUGUUUCGCAUUCUGAUAGGAAUCUGCCAAUCCUAUAUACUAUGAUUAUGCAGAGCUGAUUUGUGCGAUUACAUUU
Molecule: long non-coding RNA, 861 nt
Filed under: Medicago truncatula (barrel medic)
Lineage: Eukaryota; Viridiplantae; Streptophyta; Magnoliopsida; Fabales; Fabaceae
Source: RNAcentral